UACCAGCACCCCGAGUGGUCGGGACGUUUAUUGGGCCUAAAGCAUCCGUAGCCGGUUCUACAAGUCUUCCGUUAAAUCCAACUGCUUAACAGGUGGGCUGCGGAAGAUACUAUAGAGCUAGGAGGCGGGAGAGGCAAGCGGUACUCGAUGGGUAGGGGUAAAAUCCGUUGAUCCAUUGAAGACCACCAGUGGCGAAGGCGGCUUGCCAGAACGCGCUCGACGGUGAGGGAUGAAAGCUAGGGGAGCAAAUGGG
This 253-nucleotide ribosomal RNA is filed under the name uncultured bacterium. RNAcentral's name for it is "partial 16S ribosomal RNA". It matches the Rfam family "Archaeal small subunit ribosomal RNA", at positions 474 to 727 of the family's 1478-position model. The record is from RNAcentral.